AAAGUGUAAUGAGGAUAAUUUACAAACCUUACCGAAAGCAAUUGGAGGGCAAGUCUGGUGCCAGCAGCCGCGGUAAUUCCAGCUCCAAAAGCGUAUAUUAAAGUUGUUGCAGUUAAAAAGCUCGUAGUUGAAGUUCUGGUUGUAUUGGGCCUCUGCACUCGAUGCGGAGGAACCAGCAGUCAUCCGCUUGCAAAUACAUGUCCUUCCUUAACCGGUAGGCUGUAUAAGUAAGCACUUUACCUUGAGAAAAACAGAGUGUUCCAGGCAGGUUUGUCCGGAAUGCGUUAGCAUGGAAUAAUAGAAUAUGACUGAAGUCGAUUUAUUGGUUAAAGGCUUUAGUAAUGAUUAAUAGGAACAAUCGGGGGCAUUGGUACUUGUCAGUCAGAGGUGAAAUUCUAGGAUUUGACAAAGACUAACUGAUGCGAAAGCGUUUGCCAAGAAUGUUUUCAUUUAAUCAAGAACGAAAGUUAGGGGAUCAAAGACGAUCAGAUACCGUCCUAGUCUUAACUAUAAACUAUACCGACUCGGAUUCAGA
RNAcentral lists this ribosomal RNA (535 nucleotides) under uncultured eukaryote. RNAcentral describes it as "SSU rRNA". It matches the Rfam family "Eukaryotic small subunit ribosomal RNA", at positions 506 to 1057 of the family's 1831-position model. The record is from RNAcentral.